Molecule: ribosomal RNA, 251 nt
Filed under: uncultured Gardnerella sp.
Lineage: Bacteria; Bacillati; Actinomycetota; Actinomycetes; Bifidobacteriales; Bifidobacteriaceae
Description: partial 16S ribosomal RNA
Rfam family: Bacterial small subunit ribosomal RNA
Source: RNAcentral
CGGGUGAGUAAUGCGUGACCAACCUGCCCCAUGCUCCAGAAUAGCUCUUGGAAACGGGUGGUAAUGCUGGAUGCUCCAACUUGACGCAUGUCUUGUUGGGAAAGUGUUUAGUGGCAUGGGAUGGGGUCGCGUCCUAUCAGCUUGUAGGCGGGGUAAUGGCCCACCUAGGCUUCGACGGGUAGCCGGCCUGAGAGGGCGGACGGCCACAUUGGGACUGAGAUACGGCCCAGACUCCACGGGAGGCAGCAGCA